This is an RNA transcript of Homo sapiens (human), 3056 nucleotides long. It is a transcript of the gene named ArfGAP with GTPase domain, ankyrin repeat and PH domain 6, with no coding region annotated. The transcript is spliced from 9 exons. NCBI's taxonomy places the organism in Eukaryota, Metazoa, Chordata, Mammalia, Primates, Hominidae. The record is from RefSeq and is marked validated.
AGUCUGUAGGUGACUACAGAAGGAGGAGGAACUCCGUCUGUUCUCUCUUCAGGCAGUUGUUGUGUCUCUCAGCGCUUGUUGGUUUCACAACCUAUUAAAUAAGCCGGCUGGUCUUCACCCUCCCAGACAAGUCAACUCAGGGGAGGCAGCAGGGUGCGGGCCUUGGCCCGCAGCCCUAGCCGGGGCCGGGGCCAGGGCUGGUGCCCGGGGCCUCGCUGUGAGGUGGGCAGGCGAGGAGCGGGAAGACCAUCUCUGCAAGUGCAGCAUAGCCUCGGCCUAGGACAGCGGGAGUGCGUGGCCAAAGCUGUGAGCAGAGGCACAGGUGGUGGCAGACAGUAGAGGCGCCCCAUGGGGAACAUACUGACCUGUCGUGUGCACCCUAGCGUCAGCCUCGAGUUUGACCAGCAGCAGGGGUCGGUGUGUCCCUCUGAAUCUGAGACCUAUGAGGCAGGAGCUAGGGACAGGAUGGCAGGAGCGCCCAUGGCUGCUGCUGUACAGCCUGCUGAGGUGACUGUUGAAGUUGGUGAGGACCUCCACAUGCACCACGUUCGUGACCGGGAGAUGCCUGAAGCUUUGGAGUUUAACCUUUCUGCCAAUCCAGAGUCAAGCACAAUAUUCCAGAGGAACUCUCAAACAGAAGCUUUGGAGUUUAACCCUUCUGCCAAUCCAGAGGCAAGCACAAUAUUCCAGAGGAACUCUCAAACAGAUGUUGUAGAAAUAAGAAGAAGCAACUGUACAAACCAUGUAUCUGCUGUGCGUUUCAGUCAACAAUACAGCUUGUGUUCGACAAUAUUCCUUGAUGACAGCACAGCCAUCCAGCAUUAUCUUACAAUGACAAUAAUAUCGCACUGAGAAGCCUUUUAGGAAAAUCGGGAUGGAUGUGAGGCAUCUUUCUGUGAAGAAAAGCAUCCCAGAAGAUUCUGAUUUUCACCCCAGCUCAGUCAUUCCAAACUUUGCUGCUGAUUGAAAUCACCUGGGAAACGUUUACCAAGAACCUUGAUGCCCAAAGCCAUACCCAAUACUAAUUAAAUUAAAAUGUCUCAUGUUGAAGAUGAGGCAGAUAUUAAAGCUUCUCAGGCGAUUUUAAUGUGCAGCAAAGUUUGAGAGCCACUGCUUAAUUUGAGUUUAGGACGAGAAACUGCUCCUAUUUGGUGGGACCUUGGGCAAGUCAGUUUUAAGUGUGACCUUGGAGAUACCUCAUCAUAUCACACAAAGAGAUGCAGAUAGAACUUUGAGCAUACCUGAUGAACAGUUACACUCAUUUGCGGUUUCCACCGUGCACAUUAUGAAGAAAAGAAAUGGAGGUGGGAGUUUAAAUAACUAUUCCUCCUCCAUUCCAUCGACUCCCAGCACCAGCCAGGAGGACCCUCAGUUCAGUGUUCCUCCCACUGCCAACACACCCACGCCCGUUUGCAAGCGGUCCAUGCGCUGGUCCAACCUGUUUACAUCUGAGAAAGGGAGUGACCCAGACAAAGAGAGGAAAGCCCCGGAGAAUCAUGCUGACACCAUCGGGAGCGGUAGAGCCAUCCCCAUUAAACAGGGCAUGCUCUUAAAGCGAAGUGGGAAAUGGCUGAAGACAUGGAAAAAGAAAUACGUCACCCUGUGUUCCAAUGGCAUGCUCACCUAUUAUUCAAGCUUAGGUGAUUAUAUGAAGAAUAUUCAUAAAAAAGAGAUUGACCUUCAGACAUCUACCAUCAAAGUCCCAGGAAAGUGGCCAUCCCUAGCCACAUCGGCCUGCACACCCAUCUCCAGCUCUAAAAGCAAUGGCCUAUCCAAGGACAUGGACACCGGGCUGGGUGACUCCAUAUGCUUCAGCCCCAGUAUCUCCAGCACCACCAGCCCCAAGCUCAACCCGCCCCCCUCUCCUCAUGCUAAUAAAAAGAAACACCUAAAGAAGAAAAGCACCAACAACUUUAUGAUUGUGUCUGCCACUGGCCAAACGUGGCACUUUGAAGCCACGACGUAUGAGGAGCGGGAUGCCUGGGUCCAAGCCAUCCAGAGCCAGAUCCUGGCCAGCCUGCAGUCAUGCGAGAGCAGUAAAAGCAAGUCCCAGCUGACCAGCCAGAGCGAGGCCAUGGCCCUGCAGUCGAUCCAAAACAUGCGUGGGAACGCCCACUGUGUGGACUGUGAGACCCAGAAUCCUAAGUGGGCCAGUUUGAACUUGGGAGUCCUCAUGUGUAUUGAAUGCUCAGGUAUCCACCGCAGUCUUGGCCCCCACCUUUCCCGUGUGCGAUCUCUGGAGCUGGAUGACUGGCCAGUUGAGCUCAGGAAGGUUAUGUCAUCUAUUGUCAAUGACCUAGCCAACAGCAUCUGGGAAGGGAGCAGCCAGGGGCAGACAAAACCCUCAGAAAAGUCCACGAGGGAAGAGAAGGAACGGUGGAUCCGUUCCAAAUAUGAGGAGAAGCUCUUUCUGGCCCCACUACCCUGCACUGAGCUGUCCCUGGGCCAGCAGCUGCUGCGGGCCACCGCUGAUGAGGACCUGCAGACAGCCAUCCUGCUGCUGGCACAUGGCUCCUGUGAGGAGGUGAACGAGACCUGUGGGGAGGGAGACGGCUGCACGGCGCUCCAUCUGGCCUGCCGCAAGGGGAAUGUGGUCCUGGCGCAGCUCCUGAUCUGGUACGGGGUGGACGUCAUGGCCCGAGAUGCCCACGGGAACACAGCGCUGACCUACGCCCGGCAGGCCUCCAGCCAGGAGUGCAUCAACGUGCUUCUGCAGUACGGCUGCCCCGACGAGUGUGUGUAGUAUCUGUUUUAUUUGACUGCAGUCUCCUUGGUGCAAAAACAAAAUGGGAAAAAUAAGGAUAACUCAGAAUUUCAAAAGGAAAUCACAAAUUCAGCUAAUAUUAGCAUUUUCAGUACUUUUCGUAAACUAAGUAAAUACACAAAAUGUUGAUUUUUCUGACCAUAAGACGUAUUUUAUGUCCUUCUGCCAAGGUGGAUUUGUUAGUCUCAGGCCCUCCUGGCCACAUUGCCCAAGUCACACAGGCUUCUGUAUUAUGUAUUUAGAUAAAAUGUGUGAAAACAUAUUUGAAAUAAAGUUCAUAAAUAUGCAUUGA